UCGAACGGUCAAUUAUUUAUAGCCUCUGGCUAUAGGAAAUUGUUAGUGGCAGACGGGUGAGUAAUGCGUAGGAAUCUACCUAGUAGUACGGAAUAGCCAUUAGAAAUGGUGGGUAAUACUGUAUAAUCCCCGAGGGGGAAAGAUUUAUCGCUAUUAGAUGAGCCUACGUUAGAUUAGCUAGUUGGUGAGGUAAUGGCUUACCAAGGCUAUGAUCUAUAGCUGGUCUGAGAGGACGAUCAGCCACACUGGAACUGAGAUACGGUCCAGACUCCUACGGGAGGCAGCAGUGGGGAAUAUUGGACAAUGGGCGAAAGCCUGAUCCAGCUAUGCCGCGUGAGUGAAGAAGGC
RNAcentral lists this ribosomal RNA (348 nucleotides) under uncultured bacterium. RNAcentral describes it as "bacterial SSU rRNA". It matches the Rfam family "Bacterial small subunit ribosomal RNA", at positions 62 to 415 of the family's 1533-position model. The record is from RNAcentral.